RNAcentral lists this ribosomal RNA (274 nucleotides) under uncultured bacterium. RNAcentral's name for it is "partial 16S ribosomal RNA". It matches the Rfam family "Bacterial small subunit ribosomal RNA", at positions 523 to 796 of the family's 1533-position model. The record is from RNAcentral.
AUACAGAGGGUGCAAGCGUUAAUCGGAAUUACUGGGCGUAAAGCGCGCGUAGGCGGUUUAAUCAGUCGGAUGUGAAAGCCCCGGGCUCAACCUGGGAACUGCAUUCGAUACUGUUAAGCUAGAGUAUGGUAGAGGGAAGUGGAAUUCCAGGUGUAGCGGUGAAAUGCGUAGAUAUCUGGAGGAACAUCAGUGGCGAAGGCGACUUCCUGGACCAAUACUGACGUUGAGGUGCGAAAGCGUGGGGAGCAAACAGGAUUAGAUACCCUUGUAGUCC